Molecule: ribosomal RNA, 253 nt
Filed under: uncultured bacterium
Lineage: Bacteria
Description: partial 16S ribosomal RNA
Rfam family: Bacterial small subunit ribosomal RNA
Source: RNAcentral
UACGGAGGGUGCGAGCGUUGUCCGGAAUCAUUGGGCGUAAAGGGCGCGUAGGUGGCGGGACAAGCGUGCGGUGAAAGCCUGGGGCUCAACCCCGGGUCGGCCGUGCGAACUGUUUUGCUUGAGCACUGUAGAGGCAGGCGGAAUUCCGGGUGUAGCGGUGGAAUGCGUAGAGAUCCGGAAGAACACCGGAGGCGAAGGCGGCCUGCUGGGCAGUAGCUGACACUGAGGCGCGACAGCGUGGGGAGCAAACAGG